Molecule: non-coding RNA, 179 nt
Organism: Parasteatoda tepidariorum (common house spider)
Lineage: Eukaryota; Metazoa; Arthropoda; Arachnida; Araneae; Theridiidae
Source: RefSeq, a predicted model, not a curated record
CUCGCCAAUUAAUACGACAGUCACCAAUAAACCUGCAAAACGUUGAAUUCCCGCUAACUCUGAAUCGUUUUCGGAGCAAUAAGGUUGGUUAAAACUUGAUGCCAGUUUGUUCCAAAUUGAGGUUGGUAAAAAACAUUUUCAUCAGUUAUGAAAAUAGCAUAUUAUUCUGCAAACAAAAA